GGCAGGUAAAACCCACCGAGUCACUUGAGAGUAUUUGUCUCCGGGCAAAGAAUUCAAGGCAGAAGUAACAGUGUUUGUGCAUAAGCAUAAGAUGGCAAACUGAACAGCAGAGAUUUACCUCCCCACAUCACAUAGCAACCCUUGUUCCAGCAAAGAACACAGCAACUACAGG
Long non-coding RNA from Ailuropoda melanoleuca (giant panda), 172 nucleotides. RefSeq lists it as uncharacterized. The transcript is spliced from 3 exons. Lineage: Eukaryota; Metazoa; Chordata; Mammalia; Carnivora; Ursidae. The record is from RefSeq and is a predicted model, not a curated record.